Non-coding RNA from Mycena capillaripes, 86 nucleotides. NCBI's taxonomy places the organism in Eukaryota, Fungi, Basidiomycota, Agaricomycetes, Agaricales, Mycenaceae. The record is from the annotation of a GenBank genome assembly.
GCCCUUGUGGAGCACAGGUGAUCACUUCCUGCCUGACCACCGAAUGUUAUGUGGAAGAGACGUGGGUUCGAGUCCCACUGAGGGCA